Molecule: ribosomal RNA, 439 nt
Filed under: uncultured bacterium
Lineage: Bacteria
Description: bacterial SSU rRNA
Rfam family: Bacterial small subunit ribosomal RNA
Source: RNAcentral
AACGAACGCUGGCGGCAGGCCUAACACAUGCAAGUCGAGCGCGCCUUCGGGUGAGCGGCGGACGGGUUAGUAACGCGUGGGAACGUGCCCUUCUCUACGGAAUAGCCUCUGGAAACGGAGAGUAAUACCGUAUACGCCCUUUGGGGGAAAGAUUUAUCGGAGAAGGAUCGGCCCGCGUUAGAUUAGGUAGUUGGUGGGGUAACGGCCUACCAAGCCUACGAUCUAUAGCUGGUUUUAGAGGAUGAUCAGCAACACUGGGACUGAGACACGGCCCAGACUCCUACGGGAGGCAGCAGUGGGGAAUCUUAGACAAUGGGGGCAACCCUGAUCUAGCCAUGCCGCGUGAGUGAUGAAGGCCCUAGGGUUGUAAAGCUCUUUUGUGCGGGAAGAUAAUGACGGUACCGCAAGAAUAAGCCCCGGCUAACUUCGUGCCAGCAGG